CGGCGGACGGGUGAGUAACGCGUGGGUGACCUGCCCCAUACCGGGGGAUAACAGCUGGAAACGGCUGCUAAUACCGCAUAAGCGCACAGAGCUGCAUGGCUCCGUGUGAAAAACUCCGGUGGUAUGGGAUGGGCCCGCGUCUGAUUAGGCAGUUGGCGGGGUAACGGCCCACCAAACCGACGAUCAGUAGCCGGCCUGAGAGGGCGACCGGCCACAUUGGGACUGAGACACGGCCCAA
Molecule: ribosomal RNA, 238 nt
Filed under: uncultured bacterium
Lineage: Bacteria
Description: partial 16S ribosomal RNA
Rfam family: Bacterial small subunit ribosomal RNA
Source: RNAcentral